This is a non-coding RNA of Nothobranchius furzeri (turquoise killifish), 1243 nucleotides long. NCBI's taxonomy places the organism in Eukaryota, Metazoa, Chordata, Actinopteri, Cyprinodontiformes, Nothobranchiidae. The record is from RefSeq and is a predicted model, not a curated record.
ACUCAGAUGUCAGAAACUGAAUCUGCUGUUUUUUUUUUGUUACUCAGCAUCAGCAUGAAGUUCAUUCUCUUGUGCAUCAGACAGAGACCAAUUAUUCAUCUGCUAUGAGGUCAUGACCUCAGCACAAACGACUAUUUUAUUAGUCGACUAAUCGUGUGUCGUGCGUUCAAUCAUACACACACGGAUACUCACCUUUUCGAAGGUCGUCUCGUAUUUCCUUUCCAUCAUGGUGGUGAAAUGUGAUUGGCCUGGUAAAUAGUUGUCAUAGUAUUCUGGGUUGAACUUCUUGACCAUGAUCGCCGGCCGUUGACGGGGCCUCAUGCCCUUUACCAGCAUGUUCAAAAUGGCCUCGGUCAGGAUUUUUGCGGUGUGCACGUGUUUGGCCUUGUAAGAAACUUGUCCAUUGUAUAACAAGAGUGCUCUCUUUUAGCACUGUAACGUGGCGGGAUAAAAUAAAUCCUUAGCAUUUGCAACAUUAGAGCAAAUACGUGACAUACAUACGUGUUCUACACAUGUAAUCGCCAUCACUAUAGUUGUUGCUACACCUACGAUGUUAGCGGCUAAGAGGUAAACUUACAGAGGCGACUCUACGUUCUACACCGUCAUGUGCUUCCUUUUAAGAUGCUUGUGCAUCGCCAAUGUGCUCCCGUGAAACAAGAGUUUCACAUUACAAAGUUUGAACUCUACUUGCUUCUCGAUUGUUUUAAUACAAUGCUCCCAAACCUUUGAGCUCUGUUGCCGACUCGCCAUGAUGCGUUAUUUCUCUGGUGAUUCUGAUCCAAAUGCUGAGCUUGAGUGGCACUAUUGCACAUGUAACUCGACUUAUGUAAGCAGCGGCUGACACGGAUGGCGACUAGUGCACAUGUGCGUUGCGCAGACAGGCAGCAAACGCCGAUUUGUGCCGUAGCAGGCGAGACUUUAAAAAUGCUUAUACAAUGAACGAGGCGUCGACUAUUUUUUGGUCAACGUCGUCGUGACUAAUCGUGGCAGCCCUAGACCUCAGCAACAACUUUUUCACAAAGGUUCAAAUAUAACAUUUAACUUCAUCAGCUCUAAAUCAGAUCUGUCAAGACAUCAGGAUGAUCCUAAACCUCCCAGCUGAUUUCAUUUUAUCCACAAUAUUACCAGUAAUCAUUUCUUGUCCAGAGAAAAAAAUCUGUCUCGUUAAGCUAAAUUCAUGAUGCAUCCUCAACUCAGGAUUAGACUUCCUCUUUUUGGGCCUCACAGCUCUCUGUAGCUGUUU